UGGGGAAUUUUUGACAAUGGGGGAAACCCUGAUCCAGCCAUCCCGCGUGUGCGAUGAAGGCCUUCGGGUUGUAAAGCACUUUUGGCAGGAAAGAAACGUCAUGGGUUAAUACCCCGUGAAACUGACGGUACCUGCAGAAUAAGCACCGGCUAACUACGUGCCAGCAGCCGCGGUAAUACGUAGGGUGCAAGCGUUAAUCGGAAUUACUGGGCGUAAAGCGUGCGCAGGCGGUUCGGAAAGAAAGAUGUGAAAUCCCAGAGCUCAACUUUGGAACUGCAUUUUUAACUACCGGGCUAGAGUGUGUCAGAGGGAGGUGGAAUUCCGCGUGUAGCAGUGAAAUGCGUAGAUAUGCGGAGGAACACCGAUGGCGAAGGCAGCCUCCUGGGAUAACACUGACGCUCAUGAACGAAAGCGUGGGGAGCAAACAGG
This 429-nucleotide ribosomal RNA is filed under the name Acidobacteriota bacterium. RNAcentral describes it as "Acidobacteria bacterium partial 16S ribosomal RNA". It matches the Rfam family "Bacterial small subunit ribosomal RNA", at positions 355 to 776 of the family's 1533-position model. Lineage: Bacteria; Pseudomonadati; Acidobacteriota. The record is from RNAcentral.